AGAGUUUGAUCCUGGCUCAGAACGAACGCUGGCGGCAUGCCUAACACAUGCAAGUCGAACGAGACCUUCGGGUCUAGUGGCGCACGGGUGAGUAACGCGUGGGAAUCUGCCCUUGGGUUCGGAAUAACUCAGAGAAAUGUGAGCUAAUACCGGAUGAUGUCGCAAGACCAAAGAUUUAUCNCCCAGGGAUGAGCCCGCNUAGGAUUAGCUUGUUGGUGGGGUAAAGGCCUACCAAGGNGANGAUCNUUAGCUGNUCUGAGAGGANGNUCANCCNCACUGGGACUGAGACACGGCCCAGACGCUUACGGGUGGCAGCAGUGAGGAAUAUUCGUCAAUGGGGGAAACCCUGAACGAGCAACGCCGCGUGAAGGAUGAAGGCCCUCGGGUUGUAAACUUCUUUUAGGGGGGACGAGAAAGGACGGAUCCCCCGGAAUAAG
RNAcentral lists this ribosomal RNA (437 nucleotides) under uncultured bacterium. Its description in RNAcentral is "partial 16S ribosomal RNA". It matches the Rfam family "Bacterial small subunit ribosomal RNA", at positions 8 to 490 of the family's 1533-position model. The record is from RNAcentral.